UCUAAUAUGGCAGAUUAGUGCAAUGAAUUUAAGAUUCAUAUAUAAAUAAAUAAUAUUUUAUUAGAA
This 66-nucleotide transfer RNA is filed under the name Idiocerini gen. 'Neoamritatus' sp. RNAcentral's name for it is "tRNA-Leu". The record is from RNAcentral. Lineage: Eukaryota; Metazoa; Arthropoda; Insecta; Hemiptera; Cicadellidae.